This 253-nucleotide ribosomal RNA is filed under the name uncultured bacterium. RNAcentral's name for it is "partial 16S ribosomal RNA". It matches the Rfam family "Bacterial small subunit ribosomal RNA", at positions 524 to 776 of the family's 1533-position model. The record is from RNAcentral.
UACGUAGGUGGCAAGCGUUGUCCGGAUUUACUGGGCGUAAAGGAUGCGUAGGCGGACAUUUAAGUCAGAUGUGAAAUACCCGAGCUUAACUUGGGUGCUGCAUUUGAAACUGGGUGUCUAGAGUGCAGGAGAGGUAAGUGGAAUUCCUAGUGUAGCGGUGAAAUGCGUAGAGAUUAGGAAGAACACCAGUGGCGAAGGCGACUUCCUGGCCUGUUCUUGACGCUGAGGCGCGAAAGCUAGGGUAGCAAACGGG